This 450-nucleotide ribosomal RNA is filed under the name uncultured bacterium. RNAcentral describes it as "partial 16S ribosomal RNA". It matches the Rfam family "Bacterial small subunit ribosomal RNA", at positions 354 to 796 of the family's 1533-position model. The record is from RNAcentral.
GUGGGGAAUAUUGGACAAUGGGCGAAAGCCUGAUCCAGCCAUGCCGCGUGUGUGAAGAAGGUCUUCGGAUUGUAAAGCACUUUAAGUUGGGAGGAAGGGCAGUAAGUUAAUACCUUGCUGUUUUGACGUUACCGACAGAAUAAGCACCGGCUAACUUCGUGCCAGCAGCCGCGGUAAUACGAAGGGUGCAAGCGUUAACCGGAAUUACUGGUCGUAAAGCGCGCGUAGGUGGUUUUGUAAGUUGGAGGUGAAAUCCCCGGGCUCAACCUGGGACCUGCCUCCAAAACUGCAUGACUAGAGUACGGUAGAGGGUAGUGGAAUUUCCUGUGUAGCGGUGAAAUGCGUAGAUAUAGGAAGGAACACCAGUGGCGAAGGCGACUACCUGGACUGAUACUGACACUGAGGUGCGAAAGCGUGGGGAGCAAACAGGAUUAGAAACCCGUGUAGUCC